AUUGAACGCUGGCGGCGUGCCUAACACAUGCAAGUCGAGCGGUAACAGGUGUAGCAAUACAUGCUGACGAGCGGCGGACGGGUGAGUAACGCUUGGGAAUCUGCCUAUUAGUGGGGGACAACCCGGGGAAACUCGGGCUAAUACCGCAUACGCACUACGGUGGAAAGCCGGGGACCGCAAGGCCUGGCGCUAACAGAUGAGCCCAAGUCGGAUUAGCUAGUUGGUAGGUAACGGCCACCAAGGCGACGAUCCGUAACUGGUCUGAGAGGACGACCAGUCACACCGGAACUGAGACACGGUCCGGACUCCUACGGGAGGCAGCAGUGGGGAAUAUUGGACAAUGGCGAAAGCCUGAUCCAGCGACGCCGCGUGGUGAAGAAGG
This 382-nucleotide ribosomal RNA is filed under the name uncultured bacterium. RNAcentral's name for it is "bacterial SSU rRNA". It matches the Rfam family "Bacterial small subunit ribosomal RNA", at positions 29 to 414 of the family's 1533-position model. The record is from RNAcentral.